Acanthosepion pharaonis is the source of this 112-nucleotide non-coding RNA. NCBI's taxonomy places the organism in Eukaryota, Metazoa, Mollusca, Cephalopoda, Sepiida, Sepiidae. The record is from the annotation of a GenBank genome assembly.
UACGACCACAUCACGUUAAAACACUGGUUUCUGUAUGGUCACUGAAGUUAAACAACAUCAAGCCUAGUCAGUAUUUAGAUGGGUGACUGCUUGGGAAUACCGCGUGUCGUAA